GCCGCGGUAAUACGAAGGGUGCAAGCGUUACUCGGAAUUACUGGGCGUAAAGCGUGCGUAGGUGGUCGUUUAAGUCCGUUGUGAAAGCCCUGGGCUCAACCUGGGAACUGCAGUGGAUACUGGCCGACUAGAGUGUGGUAGAGGGUAGCGGAAUUCCUGGUGUAGCAGUGAAAUGCGUAGAGAUCAGGAGGAACAUCCAUGGCGAAGGCAGCUACCUGGACCAACACUGACACUGAGGCACGAAAGCGUGGGGAGCAAACGGGAUUAGAUACCCUGGUAGUCCACGCCCUAAACGACGCGAACUGGAUGUUGGGUGCAAUUUGGCACGCAGUAUCGAAGCUAACGCGUUAAGUUCGCCGCCUGGGGAGUACGGUCGCAAGACUGAAACUCAAAGGAAUUGACGGGGGCCCGCACAAGCGGUGGAGUAUGUGGUUUAAUUCGAUGCAACGCGAAGAACCUUACCUGGCCUUGACAUGUCGAGAACUUUCCAGAGAUGGAUUGGUGCCUUCGGGAAUUCGAACACAGGUGCUGCAUGGCUGUCGUCAGCUCGUGUCGUGAGAUGUUGGGUUAAGUCCCGCAACGAGCGCAUCCCUUG
This 595-nucleotide ribosomal RNA is filed under the name uncultured Stenotrophomonas sp. RNAcentral's name for it is "bacterial SSU rRNA". It matches the Rfam family "Bacterial small subunit ribosomal RNA", at positions 514 to 1107 of the family's 1533-position model. The record is from RNAcentral. Lineage: Bacteria; Pseudomonadati; Pseudomonadota; Gammaproteobacteria; Lysobacterales; Lysobacteraceae.